This 551-nucleotide ribosomal RNA is filed under the name uncultured bacterium. RNAcentral's name for it is "bacterial SSU rRNA". It matches the Rfam family "Bacterial small subunit ribosomal RNA", at positions 28 to 570 of the family's 1533-position model. The record is from RNAcentral.
GACGAACGCUGGCGGCGUGCUUAAUACCUGCAAGUCGAGCGAGGUUACUGUUUCGGAUCCCUUCGGGGUGAAGAAGCUUUAACCUAGCGGCGGACGGGUGAGUAACGCGUGGGUAACCUACCCCAAAGUCCGGGAUAACAGCGGGAAACCGCUGCUAAUACCGGAUGCCUUUACCUUGGGGCAUCUUGAGGUAAAGAAAGGCAACGCUUUGGGAUGGGCCCGCGUCCCAUUAGCUAGUUGGUGAGGUAACGGCUCACCAAGGCGACGAUGGGUAGCCGGCCUGAGAGGGUGGACGGCCACACUGGGACUGAGACACGGCCCAGACUCCUACGGGAGGCAGCAGUAGGGAAUAUUGCGCAAUGGACGGAAGUCUGACGCAGCGACGCCGCGUGAGCGAUGAAGGUCUUCGGAUCGUAAAGCUCUGUCCUUGGGGAAGAAGGUCUUCGGACUUGACGGUACCCAAGAAGAAAGCCCCGGCUAACUACGUGCCAGCAGCCGCGGUAAUACGUAGGGGGCGAGCGUUGUCCGGAAUUACUGGCCGUAAAGGGUGC